RNAcentral lists this ribosomal RNA (611 nucleotides) under Alexandrium margalefii. RNAcentral's name for it is "partial Bacterial large subunit ribosomal RNA". It matches the Rfam family "Bacterial large subunit ribosomal RNA", at positions 1064 to 1726 of the family's 2925-position model. The record is from RNAcentral. Lineage: Eukaryota; Dinophyceae; Gonyaulacales; Pyrocystaceae.
UGGGAAAGCAGGUGGGACGACCAAAACAACCAGGAGGUUGGCUUAGAAGCAGCCAUCCUUUAAAGAUAGCGUAACAGCUCACUGGUCUAAAUAAGUUGUCUUGCGGCGAAGAUGUAACGGGGCUCAAGCCAUGAGCCGAAGCCGAGGAGUGCGUAUGCACUGGUAGCAGAGCGUAGUGUGACAUAGUUCCACUCCUCUUCAGCACCUUCCGAGGUGUUUUGGAGGAUAGGAGCUUUCGAUGAAGCGGGCGCGUGAGCGAUCCCGUGGAGAGAUCACUAGUGAGAAUGAUGACAUGAGUAGCGACAAAGAGUGUGAGAGACACUCUCGCCGAAAGUCCAAGGGUUCCUGCUUAAAGCUAAUCUGAGCAGGGUGAGCCGGCCCCUAAGGCGAGGCCGAAAGGCGUAGUCGAUGGGAACCACGUUAAUAUUCGUGGGCCUGGUGGUAGUGACGGAUCUCGUGUGUUGUAUCUCCUUACUGGAUUGGAGGUGCAGCGAAGAGGUUCCAGGAAAUAGCUCCACCGUAUAGACCGUACCCGAAACCGACACAGGUGGUCAGGUAGAGCAUACCAAGGCGCUUGAGAGAACUGCGUUGAAGGAACUCGGCAAAUUGCC